Molecule: ribosomal RNA, 474 nt
Filed under: Alviniconcha aff. marisindica R2166_13
Lineage: Eukaryota; Metazoa; Mollusca; Gastropoda; Provannidae
Also listed under: 3 other names
Description: partial large subunit ribosomal RNA
Rfam family: Bacterial large subunit ribosomal RNA
Source: RNAcentral
GGCUCUUUGUUUUAAUACGAUAAGGAGUCGGACCUGCCCGGUGAAAAUAUUUUAACGGCCGCGGUACUCUGACCGUGCAAAGGUAGCAUAAUCAUUUGCCCUAUAAUUAAGGGCUAGUAUGAAUGGUUUGACAAGAGCAACACUGUCUCUACAAAAAUUUCUAGAACUUAAUGUUCAAGUGAAGAAUCUUGAAUUGAAUUAAUAGACAAGAAGACCCUAUCGAGCUUAAAAGAAUUAGGUAGAUUUUAUUGAAACUGUGUUCUGUAUUUUCUUCUACCUAAAAUUUUGGUUGGGGCGACUAAGGAACAACCAAAGCUUCCUAAAUAUCUUUAACUUAUAAGUUUUGAUCCGAUUAUUUCGAUUAAAAGAAUUAGUUACCGUAGGGAUAACAGCAUAAUCCUUUUUGAGAGCUCAUAUCGAAAAAAGGGUUUGUGACCUCGAUGUUGGACUAGAAUAUCCAGAAGAUGCAGAAGU